CACUGGUCGAGUGACUCUGCGCCGAAAAUUUAACGGGGCUAAACUAUACACCGAAGCUUGGGAUACAUCUAAUGUAUGGUAGGAGAGCGUUCUGUAUGGGGAGAAGUCGUAGCGAAAGCGGCGGUGGACUGUACAGAAGUGAGAAUGCCGGAAUAAGUAGCGAGAAUUAAGUGAGAAUCUUAAUGGCCGAAAGUCUAAGGUUUUUGGAGGAAGGUUCGUCCGCUCCAAGUAAGUCGGGAGCUAAGGUCAGGCCGAAAGGCGUAGCCGAUGCACAUACGGUUGAUAUUCCGUAACCAUCUGUAAUUUAAGCAAAGGGACACUUCAAAAGGGUGUGACCCGGGCGUUGGUUGACCCGGGCGUAAGGGACCGAAAUUAGAGUAGGGAAGCACACUUAGCUGAAGGCGAGAAAAGCUUUGCGUAUAGAAACAGAUGCCCGUACCGCAAACCGACACAGGUGGACAGGAAGAGAAUUCUAAGGCCAGCGGGAGAAGGGUAGUUAAGGAACUCGGCAAAUUGACUCCGUAACUUCGGAAUAAGGAGUGCUCGAAAGAGCCGCAGAGAAUAGGCCCAGGCGACUGUUUAGCAAAAACACAGGUCUCUGCCAAAUCGAAAGAUGAAGUAUAGGGGCUGACACCUGCCCGGUGCCGGAAGGUUAAGAGGAGGAGUGAGAGCUCCGAAUUGAAGCCCCGGUAAACGGCGGCCGUAACUAUAACGGUCCUAAGGUAGCGAAAUUCCUUGUCGGGUAAGUUCCGACCCGCACGAAUGGUGUAACGAUCUGGGCACUGUCUCAACUACCCACCCGGCGAAAUUGUAGUACCGGUGAAGAUGCCGGUUACCUGCGGCAAGACGGAAAGACCCCAUGGAGCUUUACUGUAGCCUGAUAUUGGGUUUCGGAAAUCUAUGUACAGGAUAGGCGGGAGACUAGGAAACAUGAGCGUCAGCUUGUGUGGAGUCGAUGUUGGGAUACCGCCCUUAGGUUUCUGGAAUUCUAACCUGCGGCCGUGAAUCCGGUCGGGGGACAUUGUCAGGUGGGCAGUUUGACUGGGGCGGUCGCCUCCGAAAAGGUAACGGAGGCGCUCAAAGGUUAGCUCAGCACGGACGGAAACCGUGCCUCUGAGUGUAAACGCAAAAGCUAGCCUAACUGCGAGGGUGACGGCCCGAGCAGUAACGAAAGUUGGAGUUAGUGAUCCGGCGGUAUGU
This 1200-nucleotide ribosomal RNA is filed under the name human gut metagenome. RNAcentral describes it as "bacterial LSU rRNA". It matches the Rfam family "Bacterial large subunit ribosomal RNA", at positions 1143 to 2431 of the family's 2925-position model. The record is from RNAcentral.